RNAcentral lists this ribosomal RNA (775 nucleotides) under uncultured Neocallimastigales. RNAcentral's name for it is "partial large subunit ribosomal RNA". It matches the Rfam family "Eukaryotic large subunit ribosomal RNA", at positions 20 to 616 of the family's 3401-position model. The record is from RNAcentral. Lineage: Eukaryota; Fungi; Neocallimastigomycota; Neocallimastigomycetes; Neocallimastigales.
UACUAGAGUAGCACUCGCAUAUCAAUAAGCGGAGGAAAAGAAACUAACAAGGAUUCCCCUAGUAACGGCGAGUGAAGCGGGAAGAGCUCAAAUUUGAAAUCUUAAAGGGUUUCCCUUUACGAAUUGUAGUUUAAAGAAGUGUUUUCUGUUGAGGUUUUGGUAAAAGUUCUUUGGAAUAGGACAUCAUAGAGGGUGAGAAUCCCGUAUUUGACCUUUACUUUCAACUUUGUGAUACACUUUCAAAGAGUCGGAUUGUUUGGGAAUGCAGUCCAAAAUGGGUGGUAAAUUUCAUCUAAAGCUAAAUAGUUGGCGAGAGACCGAUAGCGAACAAGUACCGUGAGGGAAAGAUGAAAAGAACUUUGAAAAGAGAGUUAAACAGUACGUGAAAUUGUCAAAAGGGAAGCGUUUGACACCAGUGUUGUUUUUCUGAAAAUCAAUUAAAGAACUGUUUAUGCUAAGUUGUCUAGACUUUAUCAGCUAACUGUUUAGUUUUGAGCUUUUCUUUAAUGCACUUUUCAGUUAACAAGUCAACAUCAAUUUCUUUUGCUGUAAAAAAGCUUGAGGAAGGUGGCUUGAGAUUCGUCUUAAGUGUUUAUAGCCUCUUGCCUAUGCAGUCGGAGAGAUUGAGGUCUGCAGCGUAGAUCCUUCGGGGCUAAAUGCAUUUGUGCUAAGUUAUAGCAUUUUAUAGACAACUUGUUGACUAUGAUUUGUCUUGUAGCUUACUCGCUUAUGUUAUUUUACCUACGCUUAGGAUGUUGAGCGCAUGUCUCUCUCU